AUGGCCUCCACGGGUCAAAGUGUAGUAUCUGCCCUUAUCCGUUUAAAACGUGAUAUGGGCUGCAUUUGGAGCCAAGAUAUUGAACUUAUUUCUGCAAGUUGCCGGAGUGCUUGAAUAAAGCCUGCUUCACCUCCGCCGCGGGUGGGCCGGUAUUGCACUAUCUUCGGGAUUUUAGGGGCAUC
This is a small nuclear RNA of Dermacentor silvarum, 182 nucleotides long. RefSeq annotates it as U2 spliceosomal RNA. The transcript has a single exon. Lineage: Eukaryota; Metazoa; Arthropoda; Arachnida; Ixodida; Ixodidae. The record is from RefSeq and is a predicted model, not a curated record.